CUACGGGGGGCUGCAGUGGGGAAUUUUGCACAAUGGGCGCAAGCCUGAUGCAGCCAUGCCGCGUGUAUGAAGAAGGCCUUCGGGUUGUAAAUUACUUUCAGCGGGGAGGAAGGGAGUAAAGUUAAUACCUUUGCUCAUUGACGUUACCCGCAGAAGAAGCACCGGCUAACUCCGUGCCAGCAGCCGCGGUAAUACGGAGGGUGCAAGCGUUAAUCGGAAUUACUGGGCGUAAAGCGCACGCAGGCGGUUUGUUAAGUCAGAUGUGAAAUCCCCGGGCUCAACCUGGGAACUGCAUCUGAUACUGGCAAGCUUGAGUCUCGUAGAGGGGGGUAGAAUUCCAGGUGUAGCGGUGAAAUGCGUAGAGAUCUGGAGGAAUACCGGUGGCGAAGGCGGCCCCCUGGACGAAGACUGACGCUCAGGUGCGAAAGCGUGGGGAGCAAACAGGAUUAGAUACCCGAGUAGUC
RNAcentral lists this ribosomal RNA (464 nucleotides) under uncultured bacterium. Its description in RNAcentral is "partial 16S ribosomal RNA". It matches the Rfam family "Bacterial small subunit ribosomal RNA", at positions 339 to 795 of the family's 1533-position model. The record is from RNAcentral.